GCCCCCGGCCCUGGGCCCCGCCGCACCACCGCCCACUGGAGCGUCAGGGUUGCAGGUGUGGCAUCCACCUGUGAGGACGGACUGCGCGCGCCCGGCCAGGAGGACUCGCGAGGCUUCCGAGCCAUUCAGUUGUAAUCCUAUCCUCCCUGUUGAUGAAAAUUGAUGACACACAUCUAAAUAUGAACAGCAGAAAAACUCGGGGCAAGAGCGAAGGCAACCAGAAGGCCUAAGAAAUGGGGAAAACUGGUCUCCAUAAACAUAAUCAGGAAUCAAAGCUUCUACUUUGAGAUAGAGAUGGUUACCGUGGUGGAGGGGCCGUGUUCAAACCACAGGUGUACAAGUCAGUGUUCUAGUCUGUGCAGCAUCCUCUCCACCGGCCUUCACGCGACCUUCAAGACAAGAUUCCGUGAUCUCCGGGAUGCUCAGGAACGUGUUUUGAAGAUCUGGGGCUUCCCCCAAAGCAGUCACUGAGCCUCGGCCUCCCCUGCUCGACCACCUACCCACUCGGCCUUCACGAUUGCACGCGAGAGGACACAGCUCUCUAACGCCUGCUCAGACAGGUCGGCAGGACUCACGCGGGGACAAUCCAGGCAAGAGCAAUCAGCUUUGGAGAUUCCAAAUAGGACGUGUGUAGAUCAGAGAGCAUUUCGUGUUUGGAUAACAGGUUAAAUCCUUACGGGAUGGUUGAAAAUCCUUUGUCAAAGGUGAACCGAUCAUAAAGGAACCAAUUCACUACCAGAAGAAGGUAGUAGAGUUGUAAAUACAGGAGAGAUCAGACCACAUCGUAAAUCUGACCUUCGGUGGAGUGCGCAUAAGCAAACCUGCGAAGCAGCAAGGAAACGGAAAAAAAGAGGAUCUGCCCAUUAAUUCGGGGCCUGUCACGCGGAGGUCAGGAGAGCGUGGCUGCCUCGGAGCCUCACGGCCUUGGCGGGGGAGGGGCCGUGCUGGGAUCCUUUCUGGCGCCUUGUUUUGCUGAAUCAGUAGCGCUCACUUCUGAGAAGGUCCCCAAAGAAUUUCCUUCAUAUUAGUUCCAUUUAUUUUCCCAAAGAUACAGAAGAAUGUCAAAACACCAGCAAUUAUUCUAAGGCCUAAAAGUCUCAAAUGACAGAUCUUGCUGCCACA
Molecule: long non-coding RNA, 1122 nt
Organism: Canis lupus familiaris (dog)
Lineage: Eukaryota; Metazoa; Chordata; Mammalia; Carnivora; Canidae
Exons: 3
Source: RefSeq, a predicted model, not a curated record